Uranotaenia lowii is the source of this 1451-nucleotide long non-coding RNA. RefSeq lists it as uncharacterized. The record is from RefSeq and is a predicted model, not a curated record. NCBI's taxonomy places the organism in Eukaryota, Metazoa, Arthropoda, Insecta, Diptera, Culicidae. The transcript is spliced from 4 exons.
AUGUCCAAUAAUUUUCAAUUGUACAUUUUAAAAUUCCAGCCCGCAUGGCAUCCCAGUUACGCACCAAAAGAAAACGUCAAAAGUAAACAAAAACUCGCAGGUAUUUUCGUCUUUGUUUAUACUAGCUGUUCGGAAGUGUUUUCGGUGUAUCGGGUGAAUAAAAUCGGUAAUCUCCCGCGGAAACCCUCCGCGGAAUCCACGACGUUGGCCCAGGAAGUGAAAGGAAAGGUAUAGGAACGAAGAAGAAGGGAAACCUUCGCCCAAAAUUUGUUGUACGUUUCCCAUUCAGCACCCGGAUCAACUAAAACAAUCACCAUCUCCAGCAGCAAGAACAAAUCCAUCUAUUCAAGCGGUGGCUGAACUAAAGACAAAAUUGUGAACCUAAGAAUCCUUCCACAAGCAGCAAGCCAAAGAAGAACACGGGCAGUUCCGACUAUAUCAUUCGGAACUACGACAAUUGUUAAGGAUGAGGUGGCAAAUAGUUUGGCUGGAAAGUAUGCUCUCGGGAGGCUCAGGUGCUGCUGCUGCCGAGAAAACAGCAAAGGAACUGAAUUCAGCGGUUGAGGUAUUGGUGCUGGCAUCAGUGGAACACUGGACGAGGACACCAAGUUGUUCGGACUGAAUGUUCGGAAGUAUGUCGCAAAUUCGAAAAGGUGUCGCAUAGUUCCCACCUUUACUUCCGUACAUCCUUUUAACGUUGAGACAUACGACUUUUUAAGGAAACAAAAUGGAUUGGCGCUAGAAAAGUACGUUUGUAAAACGACGAUCCCUGAACCGAUAAUUUCGAAGGUAAACCGAAACCGGUUGAGAUGAACUGAAAUGGUAGAAGAACCGUCUGAUGAAUAAUUUUAAUGUUUCAUGGAUUCCAAGGAGAAACUAAAUCUCAUUAAAGCAACAUUCAUGUGUAAAUCUCUUCAAGGAACAGCAAGUUGCCCCUGUCAAGCUGACCGUUCGAAAUCGAAAACUGAACUUUGGGCCGCAGAAUCAAGCUGCUCACGGUGUGCUUCGAUUGGUGCUGUAGCUGGGUGAACCCGUGGAACCGAAAACUCAUCGAGUACGAAACGGACAUUCUGGCCCUGUCGUAUUUCAAUCAUCUGGAUUUCGUCUCGAUGAUUUAAAAUGAGCAAUGCUCCCCGUUGGUCGUUGAACAUCGAUAUCCCGUUACCGACCAGAUAUAUUCUUGUAAUGUUUUGAAUGACCCCUCAUUUUAAGCCACAUCAUGGUCGUAGCAAGAGUUUCCUGGCUUUUCGAGGAACGUGAAAGAAAUUUAAUUCUAUGAACGUUUAUGCCAUCUUCAUUGGACUCAUAUCCGACCGGGUAGUGUAACGCAGGGUAUGUCGUCGGAUUUACUCGAUGAGACCUAUGCAUCCAAAUUUUCUGAACGUUUAGUUGAAGAUGUGCUGCAACAGCAACAAACUGAUUUGGGUGCAACUUACCUAAGAUGUUGGAAU